CCUACGGGUGGCAGCAGUGGGGAAUAUUGCACAAUGGGGGAAACCCUGAUGCAGCGACGCCGCGUGAGUGAAGAAGUAUUUCGGUAUGUAAAGCUCUAUCAGCAGGGAAGAAAAUGACGGUACAUGAGUAAGAAGCCCCGGCUAACGACGAGCCAGCAGCCGCGGUAAUACGUAGGGGGCAAGCGUUAUCCGGAUUUACUGGGUGUAAAGGGAGCGUAGGCGGACGAUCAAGUCAGCGGUAAAAUUGAGAGGCUCAACCUCUUCGAGCCGUUGAAACUGGUUUUCUUGAGUGGGUGAGAAGUCUGCGGACUGCGUGGUGUCGCGGUGAAAUGCAUAGAUAUCACGCAGAACUCCGAUUGCGCAGGCAGCAUACCGGCGCUCAACUGACGCUCAUGCACGACAGUGUGGGUAUCGAACAGGAUUAGAUACCCGAGUAGUC
RNAcentral lists this ribosomal RNA (439 nucleotides) under uncultured bacterium. RNAcentral describes it as "partial 16S ribosomal RNA". It matches the Rfam family "Bacterial small subunit ribosomal RNA", at positions 338 to 795 of the family's 1533-position model. The record is from RNAcentral.